UACGUAGGGCGCAAGCGUUGUCCGGAAUUAUUGGGCGUAAAGAGCUCGUAGGCGGCUUGUCACGUCGAUUGUGAAAGCCCGAGGCUUAACCUCGGGUCUGCAGUCGAUACGGGCUAGCUAGAGUGUGGUAGGGGAGAUCGGAAUUCCUGGUGUAGCGGUGAAAUGCGUAGAUAUCGGGAGGAACACCAGUGGCGAAGGCGACUUUCUGGCCUGUUCUUGACGCUGAGGCGCGAAAGCUAGGGGAGCAAACGGG
RNAcentral lists this ribosomal RNA (253 nucleotides) under uncultured bacterium. Its description in RNAcentral is "partial 16S ribosomal RNA". It matches the Rfam family "Bacterial small subunit ribosomal RNA", at positions 524 to 776 of the family's 1533-position model. The record is from RNAcentral.